GACGAACGCUGGCGGCGUGCUUAACACAUGCAAGUCGAACGGAAAGGCCCUGCUUUUGUGGGGUGCUCGAGUGGCGAACGGGUGAGUAACACGUGAGUAACCUGCCCUUGACUUUGGGAUAACUUCAGGAAACUGGGGCUAAUACCGGAUAGGAGCUCCUGCUGCAUGGUGGGGGUUGGAAAGUUUCGGCGGUUGGGGAUGGACUCGCGGCUUAUCAGCUUGUUGGUGGGGUAGUGGCUUACCAAGGCUUUGACGGGUAGCCGGCCUGGGAGGGUGACCGGCCACAUUGGGACUGAGAUACGGCCCAGACUCCUACGGGAGGCAGCAGUGGGGAAUAUUGCACAAUGGGCGGAAGCCUGAUGCAGCAACGCCGCGUGCGGGUUGACGGCCUUCGGGUUGUAAACCGCUUUCGCCUGUGACGAAGCGUGAGUGACGGUAAUGGGUAAAGAAGCACCGGCUAACUACGUG
Molecule: ribosomal RNA, 468 nt
Filed under: uncultured bacterium
Lineage: Bacteria
Description: partial 16S ribosomal RNA
Rfam family: Bacterial small subunit ribosomal RNA
Source: RNAcentral